RNAcentral lists this small RNA (536 nucleotides) under Pan troglodytes (chimpanzee). RNAcentral describes it as "processed transcript". Lineage: Eukaryota; Metazoa; Chordata; Mammalia; Primates; Hominidae. The record is from RNAcentral.
CAUUCUGCGCACGCUCUACCACGAGCACAUCAUCAAGUACAAGGGCUGCUGCGAGGACCAAGGCGAGAAGUCGCUGCAGCUGGUCAUGGAGUACGUGCCCCUGGGCAGCCUCCGAGACUACCUGCCCCGGCACAGCGUCGGGCUGGCCCAGCUGCUGCUCUUCGCCCAGCAGAUCUGCGAGGGCAUGGCCUAUCUGCACGCUCAGCACUACAUCCACCGAGACCUAGCCGCGCGCAACGUGCUGCUGGACAACGACAGGCUGGUCAAGAUCGGGGACUUUGGCCUAGCCAAGGCCGUGCCCGAAGGCCACGAGUACUACCGCGUGCGCGAGGAUGGGGACAGCCCCGUGUUCUGGUAUGCCCCAGAGUGCCUGAAGGAGUAUAAGUUCUACUAUGCGUCAGAUGUCUGGUCCUUCGGGGUGACCCUGUAUGAGCUGCUGACGCACUGUGACUCCAGCCAGAGCCCCCCCACGAUGGAGUUUCACACUUGUAUCCCAGGCUGGAGUGCAAUGGCACAAUCUCGGCUCACUGCAACCU